RNAcentral lists this ribosomal RNA (252 nucleotides) under uncultured bacterium. Its description in RNAcentral is "partial 16S ribosomal RNA". It matches the Rfam family "Bacterial small subunit ribosomal RNA", at positions 524 to 776 of the family's 1533-position model. The record is from RNAcentral.
UACGUAGGUCCCGAGCGUUGUCCGGAUUUAUUGGGCGUAAAGCGAGCGCAGGUGGUUUAUUAAGUCUGGUGUAAGAGGCAGUGGCUCAACCAUUGUAUGCAUUGGAAACUGGUAGACUUGAGUGCAGGAGAGGAGAGUGGAAUUCCAUGUGUAGCGGUGAAAUGCGUAGAUAUAUGGAGGAACACCGGUGGCGAAAGCGGCUCUCUGGCCUGUAACUGACACUGAGGCUCGAAAGCGUGGGGUGCAAACAGG